This 250-nucleotide ribosomal RNA is filed under the name uncultured prokaryote. RNAcentral describes it as "partial 16S ribosomal RNA". It matches the Rfam family "Bacterial small subunit ribosomal RNA", at positions 524 to 773 of the family's 1533-position model. The record is from RNAcentral.
UACGGAGGAUGCGAGCGUUAUCCGGAUUUAUUGGGUUUAAAGGGUGCGUAGGCGGGUUCUUAAGCGUGAGGUGAAAUGCCACGGCUCAACCGUGGAACUGCCUCGCGAACUGGGAGUCUGGAAUGCCCCUGCCGUGGGAGGAAUGUGUGGUGUAGCGGUGAAAUGCAUAGAGAUCACACAGAACACCGAUUGCGAAGGCAUCUCACGAAGGGGUGAUUGACGCUGAGGCACGAAAGCGUGGGGAUCAAAC